RNAcentral lists this long non-coding RNA (11116 nucleotides) under Homo sapiens (human). RNAcentral's name for it is "non-protein coding NRAV:6". Lineage: Eukaryota; Metazoa; Chordata; Mammalia; Primates; Hominidae. The record is from RNAcentral.
GCAGACCACAAUGCACCGCUCACGGCGUCGGUUGCCCGGGCAAUGGGCCGCACGCUACGAGGCCCACACACCCAGAAGGUGGAGCCCCGGCCGGGUUACGAGGACCACCCAGCUGUCUGGAGAGAUGAAGAAAAUGAGGUUCAAAGAGAUGAAGUCUCUUGCCUAAAGUCAGUGACAGAAAGUGACAGAGCUGGGAUGUGAAUCCUGGUCUGACUCUACAGUCCCACAUGGUAGAUGGAACCUCCGAGCAACACCUAAACAAAAGGAGUUGAUGCCUCCGAACAGAGUAAUGUCGCUGGAGACACUAAGCAUCGUCGGCCCCUGGCAGGAGCUCCCUAAAUAUGUGUUGGAUGGAUGGAAGAAAGGAUGGAUAGUUCAGAGUACUUCAGCCUUGAUUCCUCCGCAACAGACACCUGAAACUUGACCCUACAUUGGUUCUUGGCCAUCGUGAUCUUCCUUGGACAGAAUCACCUUUCAGCUCCGGUCAUCAGACUUUCCCAGGGCCCUCAGAAAGCCCUUCAGAGUUGUUACUCACAGGCAGGCUGAGGGAUUCCUUACGGGGUCUGCAGCUCUCCUCACCUCAUCCACAAGUAGGACCGUGGCCUGUUCCUCACUACUGCCCCAGGAUCACUCUGUUCCCAGCCCAGUCCAGCAAUCACUUGUCUAGCUUUCUGGAACCUUGAGUACUUUCUUGAACCAUGAGUCCUGUGACCACCCUAGCAGCUCUAACCCUCCCUUAUCUGAAAGGAAGUGUGAGGUGACCUUGCAGGUCCCAGAGUUGAUUGAAGACCCCAUCCAGAAAGAAGGCACCCUGUGGGAGAGAUUGCAAGGCCUAGGUCUGAAUCCGGAAGCUUCCACCCCAUGGAGAAGGGCUGGCACCAGCCUGGGGCUGGCAGUGGAGCUGAGCUUUGGAGCCAAGGACUGUACUGCAGUGCAGGGAGAGUGAGGCCAGAAAGGCUGAGACAACUCAGGGAAAGAAAACCUCCCUUCUGGCUAAUAGUCAAGCACCGCCUGAGUAGACCAACACUCUCCUGUCCACAGGGGCAGCAGAUGAAGACACAACCAGAGAGGACUAACAGGCCCCCUCAGCUCUCAGUCAGAGGGCAGAGCAACACAGAAUAGACAUUAAAGGAACAGACUUUGAGGCCAGGCAGCCUUGGGUGUGCAUCUGUCCCUACUAAGCCAUGUGACAUUAAACAAGUGAGUCCACCUCUCUGAGCCUCAGGUUCCUCAUCUGUAAAAUGGGGAUUAUAAGAGUUCUUGUUUCUCAGGGACAAUGUGAGGAUUAAGUGAGAUGAUACACAUAGAGAAUGUGGUGCAGUACUGGGCACAUGGCAAAGAUCAGUGAUGCUAGCUACCACUUAUCAUUAGUGUUCCUGUAGACCAGGACUUCUCAACCUUGGCACUAUUCACCUUUUGGGCCAGAAAGUUUUUUUUGUUGUUGUUGUGGGGAGCUGUCCUAUGCAUUUGAGGAUGUUUAACAGCACCCCUGGCCUCUACCCACUAGAUGCCAAUCACACCACACCCCCAGUUUCAACAACCAAAAAUGUCUGCAGAUGGUGCCGAAUGUCUUCUGGAGGGUGAAAUCACUCCCCAGCAGUUGAAAAGCACCACCCUAAACAAUCUGGACUGAAUUUGAAUGUCACAGAUCCCAAGCUCACAGCUCCAUGUAAAGGCCACAAGGCAGGCAGGCCUACUUGCAGAUGAAGGAACGGAAAGAGCAACAAUUACAGAUCAAGCGGCUAGCUCCGGUGUAGACUAAGAGGCGGGAUCUGUAGUCUGCUCUAGGAGCUAACAAGGCCUCUGUGACUCAGUAGGUGACCUCAGUGUCACUCUUUAAUUAUAUGCAAAGUGGUCUUGUGUUAACUCUUAAUUAUUCUAGGGCUCCAAACAAGAAAAUAGGUAGUUGGUAUCUGAUUUCUGGCAUCAAGAUCCUGAUUCAUUGACUGGGAGAAAAUCUGACUCUCCAAAACUCUUUCAGAGUUCAUUUAGCCCUUCAUUUAUGACUCUGGGGAGAUUUCUGAGCGAGAGCUAGGUGUCAGGCCCUGUUCCAGGUGCUGGAGAUGCACAAGAGAACAAAAUAGGCAAAGUUUCCUUUUUAUGGAACUUAUAGCAGGAGAAUAAAGAUAAAAACAAGCAAAAAUAUUUAUCUCUGAUAAGGGCAAUGGAUAAAAAUAAAGUAGAAUAGGCCAGGCACGGUGGCUUACGCCUGUAAUCCUAGCACUUUGGGAGGCCAAGGCGGGCAGAUUGCCUGAGCUCAGGAGUUCGGGACCAGCCUGGGCAACACGGUGAAACCCCGUCUCUACUAAAAUACAAAAAAUUAGCUGGGCGUGGCAGCGUGCACCUGUAGUCCCAGCUACUUGGGAGGCUGAGGCAGGAGAAUUGCUUGAACCUGGGAGGCAGAGGUUGCAGUGAGCUGAGAUCGCGCCACUGCACUCCAGUCUGGGUGACAGAGAGAGACUCCACCUCAAAAAAAUUUAAAAAAGUAGACUAAGAGAACCAAGCAUCGCUGGGUGAGGGGUCUUGUUUUAAAGAGUUUUCUAGGAAGACCUCUCUGAGAAGGCACCAUUUGAGCCAAGACUUGAUGACCUGGCUACUGCAUGAGGAUGGAAGGUGGGGAAGCUGAUGGGAGCAGCGAGAGAGGUGGGAGCAGUUAGAGGCUAUUGCAGCAGUCCAGGUAAGAAGGAAUGGUGGCUUGGACAAGGAGGUGGUAGCAGAGAUAGGGCAGAGAUGGCCAGAUUCCAGAUGUAUUCUGAAGGUAGAGCUGACAGAUUUGCUGAGCAAUUGGAUGCAGAAUAGGAGGGAACCAGAGGCAGUCAAGGAUGACUCCAGACUUGUGAGCUGAACAAUGAGAAGAAUAGAUUGAGAUGGGGAAGUCUGGCAGAGGAAACAAGAAGUUCUGCUUUGGCCAUGUUAAGUUUGAGAUGCCUAUUAGAUAUUCCAAGUGGAGAUGUCAAAUAUGCAGUUGGAUAUAUGAGUUCUGGGAAGAGGGCCAGCCUUGAGCUAUAAUUUGGAGAGUCAUCAGCUUAUAGGUGACAUUUAAAGCAAUGGGACUGGAUGAGAUCACCACUGAGGGCGGAGUACGUGUAGAUGGAAGUAAUGCUUAUUCAGCUAGCAAUAUUCUCUGAGCGUUUACUAUGGGCCAGGCCCGGAGCUAGGUGCUAGGUACAGAGAUGGACUUCCUUUGGCACCUGCCCCAGAGAAGCUCUAUUACUUACUUAAUUUUCCUGCCUAAGUGCUUUGGCCAUGUAGAGGAUGAGCCUUGAGUUCCUACCCUGUCUUUUAGUCACUUAGUCCUUUUUUUCUCUUUUUUCUUUUUUUGAGACAGAGUUUCGUUCUUGUUGCCCAGGCUGGAGUGCAAUGGCAUGAUCUUGGCUCACCACAACCUCCGCCUCCUGGGUUCAAGCAAUCCUCCUGUCUCAGCCUCCUCAGUAGGUGGGAUUACCGGCAUGCACCACCACAUCGGGCUAAUUUUUUGUAUUUUUAGUUGACAUGGGGUUUCUCCAUGUUGGUCAGGCUGGCCUUGAACUCCCGACCUCAGGUGAUCCACCCGCCUCGGCCUCCCAAAGUGCUGGGAUUACCUGCGUGAACCACCGCACCCUGCAUCAUUUUUUCAGCAGACAUUUGUUGAGCACCUGCUUGAUACAAGGCACCCAUCUAGGCACAAGGGACAUGAAAGGAAGCGAGUCAGACACAGUUCCUAUCCUUUUGGAGUUUAGAUUUUAUGUGUGGAGACAGACAUUGAACAGGAUGCACACAGGAUCACAGGAUGUGACAAAUGCAGUGGAGGAGAAAGAUAGGCUGGUGUGAGAGCUGUUAAUGGGGGCUCUGCUCUAGCCGGAGAGGCAAGGAAGGCUUUUCCAGGAGUCACAUUAGAGGAACAAUCUAUACAAGCAGGGAACUAGGCUGGGGGAAGUGCAGGGAGCUUUUUAGGUGGAAAGAACAGCAUGUUCAAAGGCCUGAAGCUGGAAGGAGGCUGGCUGACUUGGCUCCAGAGAAGCUGUUGGGGGAGUGUGGGAGAGACAAGACAGGGAGUAGGGGUGGGGAGAAGCCAGACCUUUGGAGUCUUGUAAGUCUGGUUAAGACACGUGGACUGUCUUCUGCGGCCACCAGUGGCUCUGUUGAGGUGGGAAAUUAAAGAAAAGCAAAAUUAAAAAGAAAGAGAAAUAAGUUUUUCUGUAUGAGGGUGACUUGUCCCAGAGGCAGCAAUAGGCACAGGCCAGACCCAGGAAAAUUCUUCAUAAUAUUAUCUAAUGUGCUCUGGAGAUUCUCCCAGUACUCCCUCAACAUAGGGAGAAGAAAAACAAAUUUUCCUUUGUUUUAUGGAAUGAGUUUAUAGAUUCCUAUUCUCUGUAACCAGUGACUUCAAGUAUUGUUUUAUCUAAGCAGUGGAGUGAAGGUCAUGAGCCUCUGAGCUGGCCUGAGUUACGGCCACCUGGGCGCCAUAGUGAAGGUUAUGGGAUAAGUCUGUGCCUGGGCAAACCUAGAUAACGGACAUCUGGGUUGCUUGGCAACGGUCACGUGCAAUCCUGAGUUUGUCCUGCCUCUAUAUCCCUGCUUUCAUGCCACUGUAAGCUUGCUUCAAGCUAGCCCACCCCCUUUUGUGAAGUGUGUAUAGAAGUCAAGUGCUGUCUUUCUUCCGGGCCCAGUCUUUUGGACGUUGAGUCAGCUGGGCCUGAGUGCACUCAAUAAAUGAUUCUCCUGUUUUAGAUUGAGACCAUCCUGACUAACACGGUGAAACCCCGUCUCUACUAAAAAUACAAAAACAAAAUUAGCCGGGUGUGGUGGUGGGCGCCUGUAGUCCCAGCUACUCGGGAGGCUGAGGCAGGAGAAUGGUGUGAACCCAGUAAAUACUGCACAUGUGUAAUGAGCCGAGAUCGCGCCACUGCACUCCAGCCUGGGCAACAGAGCAAGAGUCCGUCUCAAAAAAAAAAAAAAAAAAAAAAAAAAAAAAAAAAAAAAGGCCGGGCACGGUGGCUUACGCCUGUAAUCCCAGCACUUUCAGAGGCUGAGGCGGGUGGAUCACGAGGUCAGAGAUCGAGACCAUCCUGGCUAACACAGUGAAACCCUGUCUCUACUAAAAAUACAAAAAAUUAGCCGGGUGUGGUGGCGGGCGCCUGUAGUCCCAGCUACUAGGGAGGCUGAAGCAGGACAAUGGUGUGAACCUGGGAGGCAGAGCUUGCAGUGAGCCGAGAUGGCGCCAUUGCACUCCAGCCUGGGCGACAGAGCGAGACUGCAUCUCAAAAAAAAAAAAAAAAAAGAUUCUCCUGUUUUAACCCGAGGUCUCUCUCUCAUCCUCCUGAAUCCCACAACACUGAAAGGUAGUGGGUAGGGAUUCAUAUGAUCAGAGGGCCACUGAAGUGGGCAGGUUAGUAGGGCAGCCAGGACACCAGUGAGGAGGUUAUUGAUUGUUGCCUCUUUGCUUCAGGCUCUUGGUUUCUCCAUUUUAAACAUCUGUUUGCACUCCAGGUGCAGUGUCUCAUGCCUAUAAUCCUAGCGCUUUGGGAGGCUAAGGCAGGAGGAUGCCUUACCCAGGAGAUGGAGACCAGCCUGGGCAAUAUAGCAAGACCCCAUCUCUACCAAAAAUAAAAAUAAAAAAUUAGCUAGUAUAGUGGGGUGUGCCGGUAGUUCCAGCUACUCAGGAGGCUACAGCGGGGAGGAUUGCUUGAGCCCAAGAGUUCAAGGCUGCAGUGAGCUAUGAUUGCACCACUGCACUCCAGCCUGGGCAACAGAGCGAGACCCUGACUCAAAAACAAAAACAGAAACAUCUGUUUGCAAAGCCCUGGUUCUCUCAGGGGACAGAGAGGGGAAUGCAAAGAAGUUGUUUUUCUCUCUCGGUAAGAGCAGAACCCUUGGUACCCCCAAACUUAUCAUCUUAGGAUCACAAAGCCAGAGCUUAAGGCUGUACAUAAUAAUCUGUUUCUUCCAGGAGCCACUUCCCCCAAGAAACUCCAAAGGUAUUAUUUCAUUAGCAGGGUGCCAGGUGGUUUUGGCCAGGGCCUCUGCAACUCUUUUCUCUGUGACCAUUUUCCAUUUCGGCUCAUAUAAAUCAACCUUUACUACAAAGCUAUAAAGUAAAAUAAUGUAAUGAGUGCAGCCAACUGCAGCUGUUCUCAAACUCAAUGUCACAGCCAUUACACAUGUGAAAUAUUUACAGGGGUUUUAAUCAAUUUUCUUUCCUGACACCCGUUUUUUAUUAAAAAUUACAAAAAUAAUAAAUGCACAUGGUAGUAGAUACAGAAGAACACAAGGAAUGAAUUAUAAAUGUUAACUGUACAGAGAUAACCAUUGUCAAUAUUUUGUCUUAAAUACAUCCAGUCUACAGAUAAGAACAUAUUCAUAUCAUAUAAUACCUAUCACACUGUAUGUAUCUUUUUUUUUUUUUUUUUUUUUUUAGACAGGGACUUACUCUGUCAAAUAGGCUAGGGUGUAGUGGUGCGAUCGUACCUCACUACAGCCUCAAACUCCCAGGCUCAAGGGAUCCGACUGCCCCUCCCUCCCAAGUAGCUGGGAUCACAGGUGCACACCACCACACCUGGCUAAUUUUUUUGAUUUUUAAUAAAAAUGAGGUAUCACUAUGUUGCCCAGGCUGGUCUCAAACUCCUGGGCUCAAGCAAUCCUCCCACCUUGGCCUCCAAAAGUGCUGGUAUUAUAGGCAUGAGCCACUGAACCUGGCCAAUGUAUCAUUUUUGUUACCUGCUUUUCGUAAUCCCAGCACUUUGGGAGGCCGAGGCAGGUGGAUCACGAGGUCGGGAGUUCAAGACCAGCCUGGCCAAGAUGUUAAAACCCUGUCUCUACUAAAAAUACAAAAAUUGGCUGGGUGUGGUGGUGGGCGCCUGUAAUCUCAGCUACUUGGGAGGGUGAGGCAGAGAAUUGCUUGAACCUAGGAGGUGGAGGUUGCAGUGAGCCGAGAUCGUGCCACUGCACUCCAGCCUGGGCGACAGAGCAAGACUCCAUCUCAAAAAAAAAAAAAAAAAAAAAAAGCCUUCUACAACAUAACUAUUUACUUAUGUAUUUUUAAAGAUGGGGUCCCACUCUCACCCAGGCUGGAGUACAGUGGUGCAAUCCUAGCUCACUGCAGCCUCAAACUCCUGGGCUCAAGCAGGCAUCCUGCCUUCACCUCCCAAAGUGCUGGGAUUACAAGCAUGAGCUACUGCACCCAGCCCAAUUUUAAUAGCUUCUUUAUAGCCCAUGCGGCCAGGGGCGGUGGCUCACGCCUGUAAUCCCAGCACUUUGGGAGGCCCAGGUGGUUGGAUCACUUGCGGUCAGAAGUUCGAGACCAGCCUGGCCAAUAUGGUGAAACCCCAUCUCUACUAAAAAUAUAAAAAAUUAGCCAGGUGUAGUGUUGCGUGCCUGUAGGCUACUUAGGAGGCUGAGGCAGGAGAAUCGCUUGAACCCAGGAAGCAAAGCGGAGGUUGCAGUGAUCCGAGAUUGCGCUAUUGCACUCCAGCCUGGGUGUCACAGUGAGACUCCGUCUCAAAAAAAAAAAAAAAAGUCCAUGCAUAACUUCUUGAAACAAUCACUUAUCAGUGGACACUUAAGUUGCUUCCAGUUUUUCAGUAUUGUAACAGUGCUUUGUUCUGAUGAAUAUCUUUCAAAGAUAAAAAUAAUCUUUUUAAUUCUACUUUCAGAAGUAAUAGGUACUCAUUGUAUAAAAGUGAAACACUGUAGAAAUUUAGAAUCUGAAAAAGAAAGUUCCUUUGUAAGAUCUGUAAUCUUACAACUCAAAGAUAAUGUUAAAAUUUGAUUUUUUCCCGGCAUAUAACAGGCUUUUUUCCUUUUUACCAAAAUGGGAUGAUUCUGAGUUCCCUGUCACGAUAUAUAAAUCUACUUUAUUCCUUUCAUAAACUUCCAUGCAUUUCCACCACCUGUCCCCACCCACCCACCCACAUCUGUAUACACACAUUCUGCCUCCCUUGCCGUUACCCUGUAUGAACUGUUCAUGCUCCUAUCUAAGGCCAUCUCCCUGGCACUGGGUCCAUCUCCUCUCAUUCCUGUGAUUGUCUCUUCUCCCUCUCCUGCAUCAUCAGUUUCCCCUGUCUACUGGAUUAUUCCCACCAGCGUGCAAACAUGCUGUCAUAUUCUUUUAAAAAUGCUUCCCUUGCCUACACAUUCUCCUGUAGCUACCAUCCCAUCUCGGCUUUCCUCCAAGAGUUGUCUGUACUCCCUGUCCCCGAUUCCUCACCUCCCAUUCUCUCUUUAAUCCACUGCACCCACACAGCUCAAAUGUGGUGGUCACCGGUGACCACCAUGCUGCUAAACACAGUGGCCAAUUCUCAGUGCCCUUCAUGGCCAUACAUGUCACAGUUGCUCUCUUCCUCUGGGUCCUCCCUUGGCUUCCAGGACCACACACUCUCUUAGCUGUCCUCCCAUCUCACUGGCUGCUCCACCUCAGGCUCCUCUGUUUGUUUCCCCUUUUCUCCAUGACAUCUGAAGGAAGAAGUGAACCAGGCCUUCUCUAUUGGGCUACUUCUCUAUUUAAACUCUCUCUUGGGAGUCUCCAUUUUCAUGGCUUUAAAUUUCAUGGCUCACAACUCUCAAAUUUGUAUUUUCACCCCAAACUUUGCCCCUGAAUGCCCAUCCCAUAUCUCUAAGUCCUAUUUGAAAUAGCUCUAGGAUGUCUAACAGGCAUCUGUCUCAAACCUAACACAUCCACAACAGACCUAUUCUACUCCCAAACCUGCCUGCUUAUCCUGCAGGCUUCCUUAUCACUGUAAAUAGCCACUGCAUUCUUCCAGGUGCUCAGGAGAGAGAUCUAGAAGUUUUCCUUGACUUGUGUAUAUUCCUCACACCUCACAUCUAAUUUAAGCACAUUAAUGAGCUUAAAUUCUUUAAGCUCAAUCUUGAAAAUAUAUCUCACCACCUUCGCUCUUCUUCUGACCUUUUUUUUUUUUUUUGAUACAGAGCUUCUCUCUGUCAUCCAGGCUAGAGUACAGUAGCACAAUCUCAGCUCACUGCAGCCUCCACCUCCCAAGUUCAAGCAAUUCUCCUGCCUCAGCCUCCCUUGUAGCUGGGGUUACAGGUGUGCACCACCACACCCAGAUAAUUUUUGUAUUUUUAGUAGAGACGGGGUUUCACCACAUUGGUCAGGCUGGUCUCAAACUCCUGACCUUGUGAUCCACCCGCCUCAGACUCCCAAAGUGCUGGGAUUACAGGUGUAAGCCACCGUGCCUGGCCUUUUUUUUUCUUUAAGAGAUGAGGUCUUGCUCUGUUUUCCAGGCUGGAUCCUGGGCUUGAGGGAUCCUCCUGCGUCAGCCUCUCGAGUAGCUGGGACCACAGGCACGAGCCACCGAUGCCUGGCUAAAUUUUUACUUUUUUGUAGAGAUGGAGGUCUCGCCAUCUUGCCCAGGCUGGUCUCGAACUCAUGGACUCAAGCAAUCCUCCUGCCUCAGCCUCCCAAAGCCCAUGUCUGGCCUGGGCUGUCUAUUCUGUCUCACUGCUCUAUGUGUUUAUCUUUUUGCUGAUACCACCCUACUUUGAAUACUGUAACUUUAUAGUGAGUCUUGAAGUUGGGUAAUGUGAGUAUGUGAGUCCUCUGACUAUUUUUUUUUUCAGAAUUGUUUUGGCUAAUCUAGUACCUUUGCCUUUCUCUGUAAAAAAAUUGUUUUGGCUAGGCCGGGCAUGGUGGCUCACGCCUGUAAUCCCAGCACUUUGGGAGGCCGAGGCAGGCGGAUCACAAGGUCAGGAGAUUGAAACCAUCUUGGCUAACACUGUGAAACCCCAUCUCCACUAAAAAUACAAAAAAUUAGCCGGGCACGGUGGCAGGCGCCUGUAGUCCCAGCUACCUGAGAGGCUGAGGCAGGAGAAUGGCGUGAACCCGGGAGGUGGAGCUUGCAGCGAGCCGAGAUGGCGCCACUGCACUACAGCCUGGGCGAUAGAGCGCGACUCCAUCUCAAAAAAAAAAAAAAUUGUUUUGGCAAAUCUAGUACCUUUGCCUUUCUAUGUUGCCCGGGCUGGAGUGCAUUGGCUACUCACAGGCAUGAUCAUGGUGUAUUAUAGCCUCAAACUCCUGGCCUCCAGCGAUCUUCCUGUCUCAGCUCCCAAGUAGCUCCCAAGUGUGCAACUGAGACUACAGGUGCAAAACACAGUGCCCUGGCUUCUCUGUAAAUUUUAGAAUCAGUUUGUAGACAGUGUCUGGGAGGAAAAACUUUUUAUCUACCCUCAGGUUUAGUCUUUGGGGACCUGUGAAUUAAACAGACGAAAGAUAUAUUAACAAGAGAAGGCCAAGCGUGGUGGCUUACACCCAUAAUCCCAACACUCUGGGAGGCUGAGGCGGGAGGAUCACUUGAGUCCAGGAGGUCGAGGCUGCCGUGGGCUAGCAUCAUGCCACUGCACUGCCCCAUGGGCAACAGAGCGAGACCCCUGUCUCUAAAACAAACAAAAAGAAGACAAAAUUUAAUCAUUUAUUUUAUUAACAUACAUAUGGGAGUUCACCAGAAAGACUAUCCACAUUACUAGAGAUGGAAACUUUCAGCUCCUUCCCCCAACCUCCAGGGAGGGGAGUGGGGCUAGAGACUGGGCUCCAAACACUCUUGAACAGGAGGUUCCGAAAGUCUGGAAUGAUGAACGCAUUGAUGUGCUGGGAGGGUGGUGCACCUGGAGAGGACAUGGAAGCUCUGUUCCCACCUCCUCCUGCUGUGCCCCGCCCCAUGCCUUGCCCUAUGCAUCGCUUCCAUUUGGUUGAUCCUAGUUGUAUCCUUUAUAAUAAACUGGAAAAUGUAAAUAAGGUGCUGUCCUGAGUUCUGUGAGUCACUCUAGUAAAUUAUUGAACCUGAAGGGGGUGAGUGGGAACCUCUGAAUUUGUAGUAGGCCCAACAAAAAUGUGGGUAGCUGGGGCACCUCAUUUGUGCAGGCAUCUAAAGUGGGGGCGGUCUUGUGGGACUCAGUCCUUAACUUUUGUUCAGGGUCUGUGCUAACUCUGGGUAGUUAGUGUCAGAACUGAAUAGAAUUUUCAGAGGUCCAGUUGAUCUCAGAUAAUUGAACAAUUGAUGUGGAAAAAUGACACGUAUCUGGUGCCAGAGAUAAAGACCGCACCACACAUUUGGUGUCAGAAAUAGUGUCAAAGAUAAGACAUCACAGGAAGUCACUGGUAUUAGCACAGUGUUAUACAUACAGA